Rhamnusium bicolor is the source of this 84-nucleotide non-coding RNA. The record is from the annotation of a GenBank genome assembly. Lineage: Eukaryota; Metazoa; Arthropoda; Insecta; Coleoptera; Cerambycidae.
AGUCCUACGUGGUCGAAUGGUAAAAACACUUACCUUUCACCCAUGGAGUCCCGGGUUCGAUCCCCGGUCGCGGAGCUAGGAUUU